RNAcentral lists this ribosomal RNA (521 nucleotides) under uncultured eukaryote. RNAcentral's name for it is "SSU rRNA". It matches the Rfam family "Eukaryotic small subunit ribosomal RNA", at positions 607 to 1131 of the family's 1831-position model. The record is from RNAcentral.
AAGUUGUUGCAGUUAAAAAGCUCGUAGUUGGAUUUCUGGUGGGAGCGGUCGGUGCGGUCCUCAGGAUUGCUACUCGUACCGUCUCUCGCCAUCCUUGGGUCGAUCCUGUCUGGCAUUAAGUUGUCGGGCAGGGGAUGCCCAUCGUUUACUGUGAAAAAAUUAGAGUGUUCAAAGCAGGCUUAUGCCGUUGAAUAUAUUAGCAUGGAAUAAUAAGAUAGGACUUUGGUACUAUUUUGUUGGUUUGCGCACCAAAGUAAUGAUUAAUAGGGACAGUUGGGGGUAUUCGUAUUCCGUUGUCAGAGGUGAAAUUCUUGGAUUUCCGGAAGACGAACUACUGCGAAAGCAUUUACCAAGGAUGUUUUCAUUAAUCAAGAACGAAAGUUAGGGGAUCGAAGAUGAUUAGAUACCAUCGUAGUCUUAACCAUAAACUAUGCCGACUCGGGAUUGGCGGUCGUUAAUUUUGACCCCGUCAGCACCGUAUGUGAAAACAAAGUCUUUGGGUUCCGGGGGGAGUAUGGUCG